Molecule: non-coding RNA, 438 nt
Organism: Arachis ipaensis
Lineage: Eukaryota; Viridiplantae; Streptophyta; Magnoliopsida; Fabales; Fabaceae
Source: RefSeq, a predicted model, not a curated record
GCUUCUGCUGGUUGGUCCUCGUCUUCGUCCUCUGUUUGGGCCUGGGCUUGGGUUUGGGCCGCAAGAAUGACUUGGAGGCGCUCCCGGAGGCAAGUGGCACAAACGCCGAUGUCGCUGGUUGAAUCCGAUGCGAAAUAGAGAAUUAAAGGGGGAAGAAGAUUUGUGUUGUUGCUGAAUGCUGAGUGAGAGUUUAGGAUGAGAAUGGAAGAGAGAGUAAUAUUUGUGGUUCGAAAUUUGUAGCGAGAGAAGGAGGAAUGAAAAAAAAAAGAACCUACUUGGCCUAAAGGGAAAGGUUGGCGGGGCUAACAGCAAUUUUUAACAAAUAACAAUAUGGAUAAUGGAUAUGGUUAGGGAAAGUUUUUGCUGGAAUACAGCGCCUCUUACGGUGUAUUUUAUUAUUUUAUAAUUUUUUAAUUACUAAUUUUGGUUUUAUGGUUA